UUAAAGAUCUGGUGAAAAAAGCAGCGCGUUGGAUUCCGUUACACCUAGCAUUUUUCUUUACCCGAAUCUGCUAUGAGAACAGUUUUACUCGUUUCUAGAGUGAAGCUCUUCACAUCUAAGGAGAAACCGAGGCCCUGAGGGUGAGACUUGACGUGUGAAAGAGAGAGUCGGGGGCAGCUGGAGAUCAAGGGGCGGGAGCGCAUCUCGGCAUCAAGGGCUAUAGAGGUUCAGGUUUGAAACAAAACUGAGACCAACGGAGACUGAGAGUCAUCAUUGAGACAGCAGUCCAUCCGCAGAGACUGAAGUUCAGAAAACAGGUGAAGCUUCUCCACAAUGAGCUCAGACCUCUGGCAGAAUCGGCCUCCACCUUCAGUCGCCACAGACUGAGGAUCCGAAGAGACUGGAGAUUUGACAGCAAAGAAG
Non-coding RNA from Lepisosteus oculatus (spotted gar), 423 nucleotides. NCBI's taxonomy places the organism in Eukaryota, Metazoa, Chordata, Actinopteri, Semionotiformes, Lepisosteidae. The record is from RefSeq and is a predicted model, not a curated record.